This 303-nucleotide ribosomal RNA is filed under the name Triticum aestivum (bread wheat). Its description in RNAcentral is "partial small subunit ribosomal RNA". The record is from RNAcentral. Lineage: Eukaryota; Viridiplantae; Streptophyta; Magnoliopsida; Poales; Poaceae.
AUGCCGCAUCAGCUCGCGGCCGACCGGCUUGCCUCCGCGCUCAAGCUCUCCCUCGUAACCGGCGCCCCAUCUGUUCUCUGCCGCAUCAGCCUGGGCAUAUUGCCGACGACGCCCGCAUCGACACCUCCAUCGAGCGUGUUCCCGCUGCGCCUCGGUCCUCCGCUGUGUUCUUCCUUCCUUCGCCCUUCCUACUUUUCCUUUUCUUGUGGAGAUAAUUCUUUUGCAUCAUCCUCUUCAUCUCUGCUUAUCAAUUUUCAUGGCCGCUUGUUUCGAUCACCAGGGCAUGCAUAUAUAAACCGAUGA